GAUGAACGCUGGCGGCGUGCUUAACACAUGCAAGUCGAACGAAGAUGCCGGAGUGCUUGCACUUUGGCAGACUGAGUGGCGGACGGGUGAGUAACGCGUGGGUAACCUGCCUUAUACAGGGGGAUAACAGUUGGAAACGACUGCUAAUACCGCAUAAGCGCACGGUAUCGCAUGAUACAGUGUGAAAAACUCCGGUGGUAUAAGAUGGACCCGCGUCUGAUUAGCUUGUUGGUGAGGUAACGGCCCACCAAGGCGACGAUCAGUAGCCGGCCUGAGACGGGUGAACGGCCACAUUGGGACUGAGACACGGCCC
Molecule: ribosomal RNA, 313 nt
Filed under: uncultured bacterium
Lineage: Bacteria
Description: bacterial SSU rRNA
Rfam family: Bacterial small subunit ribosomal RNA
Source: RNAcentral